AAACCAGCACCUCAAGUGGUCAGGAGGAUUAUUGGGCCUAAAGCAUCCGUAGCCUGUACUGUAAGUUUUCGGUUAAAUCCAUUAGCUCAACUAAUGGGCCGCCGAAAAUACUGUAGAACUAGGGAGUGGGAGAGGUAGACGGUAUUCGGUAGGAAGGGGUAAAAUCCUUUGAUCUAUUGAGGACCACCUGUGGCGAAGGCGGUCUACCAGAACACGUUCGACGGUGAGGGAUGAAAGCUGGGGGAGCAAACCGGAUUAGAAACCCCAGUAGUCC
This 274-nucleotide ribosomal RNA is filed under the name uncultured bacterium. RNAcentral's name for it is "partial 16S ribosomal RNA". It matches the Rfam family "Archaeal small subunit ribosomal RNA", at positions 473 to 747 of the family's 1478-position model. The record is from RNAcentral.